AGAGUUUGAUCCUGGCUCAGGACGAACGCUGGCGGCACGCUUAACACAUGCAAGUCGAACGAGAGAAGAGGAGCUUGCUUUUCUGAUCUAGUGGCGGACGGGUGAGUAACACGUGAGCAAUCUGCCUUUCAGAGGGGGAUACCGAUUGGAAACGAUCGUUAAUACCGCAUAACAUAAUUGAACCGCAUGAUUUGAUUAUCAAAGAUUUAUCGCUGAAAGAUGAGCUCGCGUCUGAUUAGCUAGUUGGUAAGGUAACGGCUUACCAAGGCGACGAUCAGUAGCCGGACUGAGAGGUUGAUCGGCCACAUUGGGACUGAGACACGGCCCAGACUCCUACGGGAGGCAGCAGUGGGGAAUAUUGCACAAUGGAGGAAACUCUGAUGCAGCGAUGCCGCGUGAGGGAAGAAGGUUUUAGGAUUGUAAACCUCUGUCUUCAGGGACGAAAAAAGACGGUACCUGAGGAGGAAGCUCCGGCUAACUACGUGCCAGCAGCCGCGGUAAUACGUAGGGAGCGAGCGUUGUCCGGAAUUACUGGGUGUAAAGGGAGCGUAGGCGGGAUCGCAAGUCAGAUGUGAAAACUAUGGGCUUAACCCAUAAACUGCAUUUGAAACUGUGGUUCUUGAGUGAAGUAGAGGUAAGCGGAAUUCCUAGUGUAGCGGUGAAAUGCGUAGAUAUUAGGAGGAACAUCAGUGGCGAAGGCGGCUUACUGGGCUUUAACUGACGCUGAGGCUCGAAAGCGUGGGGAGCAAACAGGAUUAGAUACCCUGGUAGUCCACGCCGUAAACGAUGAUUACUAGGUGUGGGGGGACUGACCCCUUCCGUGCCGCAGCAAACGCAAUAAGUAAUCCACCUGGGGAGUACGACCGCAAGGUUGAAACUCAAAGGAAUUGACGGGGGCCCGCACAAGCAGUGGAGUAUGUGGAUUAAUUCGAAGCAACGCGAAGAACCUUACCAGGUCUUGACAUCGUAUGCAUAGCUCAGAGAUGAGUGAAAUCUCUUCGGAGACAUAUAGACAGGUGGUGCAUGGUUGUCGUCAGCUCGUGUCGUGAGAUGUUGGGUUAAGUCCCGCAACGAGCGCAAUCCUUACUGUUAGUUGCUACGCAAGAGCACUCUAGCAGGAUUGCCGUUGACAAAACGGAGGAAGGUGGGGAUGACGUCAAAUCAUCAUGCCCCUUAUGACCUGGGCCUCACACGUACUACAAUGGCUGUCAACAGAGGGAAGCAAAGCCGCGAGGUGGAGCGAACCCCUAAAAGCAGUCUUAGUUCGGAUUGUAGGCUGCAACCCGCCUACAUGAAGUCGGAAUUGCUAGUAAUCGCAGAUCAGCAUGCUGCGGUGAAUACGUUCCCGGGCCUUGUACACACCGCCCGUCACGCCAUGGGAGUCGGUAACACCCGAAGCCUGUAGUCUAACCGCAAGGAGGGCGCAGUCGAAGGUGGGAUUGAUGACUGGGGUGAAGUCGUAACAAGGUA
RNAcentral lists this ribosomal RNA (1470 nucleotides) under metagenome. Its description in RNAcentral is "bacterial SSU rRNA". It matches the Rfam family "Bacterial small subunit ribosomal RNA". The record is from RNAcentral.